UACGUAGGGUGCGAGCGUUGUCCGGAAUUAUUGGGCGUAAAGAGCUCGUAGGCGGUUUGUCGCGUCGUCCGUGAAAACUUGGGGCUCAACCCCAAGCUUGCGGGCGAUACGGGCAGACUUGAGUACUGCAGGGGAGACUGGAAUUCCUGGUGUAGCGGUGAAAUGCGCAGAUAUCAGGAGGAACACCGGUGGCGAAGGCGGGUCUCUGGGCAGUAACUGACGCUGAGGAGCGAAAGCGUGGGUAGCGAACAGG
RNAcentral lists this ribosomal RNA (253 nucleotides) under uncultured bacterium. Its description in RNAcentral is "partial 16S ribosomal RNA". It matches the Rfam family "Bacterial small subunit ribosomal RNA", at positions 524 to 776 of the family's 1533-position model. The record is from RNAcentral.